AGACGAGGWUCCCACUGUCCCUAUCUACUGUCUAGCGAACCCACAGGCAGGGGAACGGGCCUGCACUAAACAGCGGGGAAAGAAGACCCUGUUGAGCUUGACUCUAGUCUGAUAUUGUAGAGAGACAUCAGAGGUGUAGCAUAAGUGGGAGGUCGUCUCGCGCGGCCGACAGUGAAAUACCACUACUCUGAUCGUUUCUCUACUUACUCGGUGAGACGGAAUCGGAGCUUCCCCACGCGGGACUGUCUCCUGUUUCUAGCCCUAAGCGGCGGAAGGGCGAUGACCGACCGACUACUGCCGUUGUUCGGUUCAGUUCCUCGUCCGCCUCUCGUGGGCGUGUGCGUUGGUUCUGGCCGUUCCGGCCCAGGAGGAGGCGGCCCCAAGCCCGGGCGUUCGCGCCCGCCGCGAUCCGCUCCGAGGACAGUAUCAGGUGGGGAGUUUGACUGGGGCGGUACAUCUGUCAAAUGAUAACGCAGGUGUCCUAAGGCCAGCUCAGCGUGGACAGAAACCUCGCGUAGAGCAAAAGGGCAAAUGCUGGCUUGAUCCCGAUUUUCAGUACGAAUACGGACUGCAAAAGCAGGGCCUAUCGAUCCUUUUGACUUUUACGAGUUUUAAGCAAGAGGUGUCAGAGAAGUUACCACAGGGAUAACUGGUUUGUGGC
Molecule: ribosomal RNA, 661 nt
Filed under: Puerulus angulatus
Lineage: Eukaryota; Metazoa; Arthropoda; Malacostraca; Decapoda; Palinuridae
Description: eukaryotic LSU rRNA
Rfam family: Eukaryotic large subunit ribosomal RNA
Source: RNAcentral